GGCUUCUUUUCUGUGGGCGUGGCCAAGGCAGCGGGGGUUUAUGACAAAGUUGAGCGACCUCAUGUCACUCAAACCAGCUGUAUUAAGGAAGGUGCAAGCUUUUGGGAUUUCUGUUUGGAUUUAGUUUAGGUUCAAAAGAGCACGCACAGAUCCUGAGUGUUGUCAAGCACCCGUGACUGGGAAACGGAGGCGUCCGAUCCGUAUUGGAGUCAAUUCGCCACUUAAUUGAACACAGCCUCGAAGGGAAGGGCCAUAUUUGUGGGCCUGUCUAACAAUUAAGAGUGACCACAUGGAAUGGGGGAUGAAAGGGUUAAAGAAGAACAAAUAUUGAACACAGCUUUUCUAUGAACAAACUGCAGGCAGCUGCUGCUUUGCAAGUUUCAGGGGUUACUCCAUCAUUAUCAUGGCAGGGAACAUGGCAGGAUGCAGGCAGAUGGUAGCUGAGAGUUCUACAUCUGGAUCCACAGGAAGCAGUUGAUUGAGAAUAAUGGUUCUGUUUUGGAGGUUGAUGGAAGAUGCCCUUUGGCCAGGAAAACAGCUCAUGCUUUUAGAGGAGGAUAAUUGCCAGAAGGCCUCUCUGAAUAAAAAAAAAUCCUGACCUCACAGCCUUUGCGCUUACUUGGGUUAGAAUGCCACAGUGAACAUUGCCCCUUGUCAUCACGUAGAGGUGCUCACAGGUAAAGCAACACAAGGAGCAUAUAGGAUCACCUGCUGGAUCUUGUUUUUAACACCAGGGAGGAAAAUGGUGUCUUGGGUAAUGAACAUGCCUCAAGACUGAGCUGGCCAUCUUCAGUGUCAUCCAAACCCUCAGUGGCCCCUGAAAAACCCUUUGAAAAGAUUCAGCACGUUGCCAUGGAGAACAUCCCACUGAAGGAAUGUAUAGAAGUAGCAGGGUUAACUGAGUGCCUUCCAUCUUCCCUCCAAGGGAUCUGCAAUGAGAUGGGAGAAGGCAACAGGCUGUGUGGGAACCACUGAAGCUGGGAUGGCAGGGAAAGAACAUCUUAGGCUAACUCUUCAAGCCUUGCUGUCACAUUUGCUUUUGAGUCUAUGGUUCCUUAUUAUUUUGGAAGGGUCUGAGAACCCACAGGGCACCCUGGGUCAUGACUCAUGUGACUGAGGAAGCACACAGAUCUGUGGAUCUCCAAGUCUAGAUGACAGCAAGCUAACAGGACACUGUUUAUGACAUAUAUAGCCCCCCCCCAACCCCUGCAGAUUUCAAAUAGGUUCUGACAAAGCUUUGUGGUAUCUGAAGGGUAGAUAGAGAAAAUAAGUGUAUCAUUUUGGUUUCUGUUUCUGCAUUACAGGUGUCAGCUGCCUACCAGUUGCUUUCAUCUCUAGAAAUCUGUGACUUGCAGUAUGACAAGAACAAAAGGUGACAAUACAAAGGACAAAGGGCAAGGAAUACAGACGGAGAAGCCGCUUAGAGUCUAGGAUGGCAGAGGUUCUCUUGAUCAUUUCAUUUUUGAGCGCUUGUAGAGCUUUGGUGUACCAGAGGUGCUUGAACAGCUUACCACACCACAGAUGAAUGGCCUUUGGAUUUCUCCUAAGAAAAUGUGGCUACCUGAAAUUCAACUCCAUUUUCUGGUCUUCAAUAUUUCUUUUGUGUUCAGUUUGCCAGCUGAGGAGAAGUGGCUAAGCAUAGCCUGUUACUGAUGCUAAAGCCCAAGUUCUGAACCUAACAACUCCAGCAACAUGAUCCUGUUUCAAGAGACAAAAAAGUGACUAAUGAAAGAAAACAAUUGAUGUGCUAUGUAGAGU
Molecule: long non-coding RNA, 1758 nt
Filed under: Mus musculus (house mouse)
Lineage: Eukaryota; Metazoa; Chordata; Mammalia; Rodentia; Muridae
Description: predicted gene 14461
Source: RNAcentral